UAGGGAAUCUUCGGCAAUGGGGGGAACCCUGACCGAGCAACGCCGCGUGAGUGAAGAAGGUCUUCGGAUCGUAACGCUCUGUUGUUAAGGAAGAACGAGUGUGAGAACGGAAAGUUCAUGCUGUGACGGUACUUAACCAGAAAGGGACGGCUAACUACGUGCCAGCAGCCGCGGUAAUACGUAGGGGGCUAGCGUUGUCCGGAAUCACUGGGCGUAAAGGGUUCGCAGGCGGAAAUGCAAGUCAGGUGUAAAAGGCAGUAGCUUAACUACAGAAAGCAUUUGAAACUGCAUAUGUUAAGAAGAGUAGGGGGAAGUGGAAUUUUUAGGGUAGCGGUGAAAUGGGUAGGGAAUAGGGGGAAAACCGGUGGGGAAAGCGGCUUUGUGGCCUGCAACUGACACUGAGGCGCGAAAGGGUGGGGAGCAAACAGG
RNAcentral lists this ribosomal RNA (429 nucleotides) under Verrucomicrobiota bacterium. RNAcentral's name for it is "Verrucomicrobia bacterium partial 16S ribosomal RNA". It matches the Rfam family "Bacterial small subunit ribosomal RNA", at positions 355 to 776 of the family's 1533-position model. The record is from RNAcentral. Lineage: Bacteria; Pseudomonadati; Verrucomicrobiota.